AUCACUUCUCGGCCUUUUGGCUAAGAUCAAGCGUAUUUUAUUUAUUUGUUUUUUUAUUUUGUUUUUGGUACCAGGGAUCGAACUUGGAACUGUGGGACCAGAAUGACUCCAUUUUGUCCAAAAUGGAG
Small nuclear RNA from Heterocephalus glaber (naked mole-rat), 128 nucleotides. Its record names the gene U2. It matches the Rfam family "U2 spliceosomal RNA". Rfam says of the family: U2 is a small nuclear RNA (snRNA) component of the spliceosome (involved in pre-mRNA splicing). Complementary binding between U2 snRNA (in an area lying towards the 5' end but 3' to hairpin I) and the branchpoint sequence (BPS) of the intron results the bulging out of an unpaired adenosine, on the BPS, which initiates a nucleophilic attack at the intronic 5' splice site, thus starting the first of two transesterification reactions that mediate splicing. NCBI's taxonomy places the organism in Eukaryota, Metazoa, Chordata, Mammalia, Rodentia, Bathyergidae. The record is from Ensembl.